AGCCCAGUGAUACCUGUUUGGGAUUUCUAACCGAAAGAACUGUAAGGUAAUAAAUUUGUGUUGUUCUAAGCUACUAAAUUUGUGGCAAUUUAUUUAUUUAUUUAGGCUGUGCCUGCAGCAUGCAGAAAUUCCCUGGCCAGGAAUCGAAACAACGCCAUAGCAGUGACACCACCAAAUCCUUAACCUCUAGUGUGGCCCUCUAUUAUGGCAGCAAAUAGGUACAACUAAUACAUACAUACAAUGAAAUACUAUUUGGCCAUGAAAAGGAAUGAAGUACUGAUAAAUGCUACAACAUGGAUAAAAUUUAAAAACUGAAAUAAGCCAGACACAAAAGGCCACAUAGUGUAUGAUUCCAUUUAUAUGAAAUGUCUAAAAUGGGCAAAACCAUAGAGAUAGAAAGUGAAAUUAGUGGUUGCCACGGGAGUAAUAGGAAGUGACUGCUAAUGAAUAAGGGGUUUCUUUUUGGGAUAACAGGAAUGUUCUGGAAUUUGAUAGUGAUGAUGCUUGCACAACUCUCUGAAUAUACUAAAAACUACUGAAUUGUACACUUUAGAUGUGAACUUUAUGGCAUCUGAAUUAUAUCUCAACAAAACUAAAAAAUGUUUUAUCAAUUAGAUAAGUUGACAGUGAUAUCCCAUUCUUACUUAAUUUGUACUUGUUUAUAUAACUAAUGGAGCUGCGUAUUUUUCAGGUAUUUAUAAGCUAUUUGUAUUUCUUUAUUAGUAAUUUGUUCAUGUCCUGUUGGUAUUUUUAAAUUACUUAUUAAUAAGUGCUUUGGAUAUAUUAAGAAUACUAACCCUUCAUCUGACAUAUGUGUUCAAACUAUUUUUCCCCAUUUGUUUGCUUUUAAAUUUUUAUUUAGGUAUACACACAUAGACACACACACUGGGGAAGGUGGUGAAGAAAAAUUCUAAAUUUUUAUUUAGAAUAACCCUAAUCUUUAUGGUUAUUGUUCUUAUGCUUAGGAAGUCCUUCCCCACCCCAAAAUUAUAUUAGUGUUCACGUAUAUUUGCUUUUUUUCUUUCCUUUUUUUUUUUUUUUUUUUUUUUGCUUUU
Molecule: long non-coding RNA, 1055 nt
Filed under: Sus scrofa (pig)
Lineage: Eukaryota; Metazoa; Chordata; Mammalia; Artiodactyla; Suidae
Description: lncRNA (ENSSSCG00030035324.1)
Source: RNAcentral